RNAcentral lists this long non-coding RNA (246 nucleotides) under Zostera marina. RNAcentral describes it as "long non-coding RNA (ZMAR_LNC005865)". The record is from RNAcentral. Lineage: Eukaryota; Viridiplantae; Streptophyta; Magnoliopsida; Alismatales; Zosteraceae.
UUGUUUCGAGCAAAAGGAGAAUGUCACGAGAGGUAAAAUCGCACGGUAAGUUCAAUUGGUCAAUAAUAAUAUGCGUUUUAGACUGAUCUAGUUGUUUUGCAGGAUGUUUUCUUUUUUGCAGGAAUUAUUCUGUCGCUUCGGCCAGAAUCAGACUCUGAUAGUGAGUCAAUCUAUCCUGCCGCUUUUGCCUUGAUAGACUAGAGAUCAUUCUGUCGCUUUGGCCUUAAUGGUCUCAACCCGUCUUGC